This 462-nucleotide ribosomal RNA is filed under the name uncultured bacterium. RNAcentral's name for it is "partial 16S ribosomal RNA". It matches the Rfam family "Bacterial small subunit ribosomal RNA", at positions 29 to 507 of the family's 1533-position model. The record is from RNAcentral.
AACAAACGCUGGCGGCGUGCCUAAUACAUGCAAGUCGAACGGGGAAAGUAGCAAUAUGAGUACUAGUGGCGCACGGGUGAGUAACGCGUGGAUAAUCUGCCUUGAAGAGGGGGAUAACUAGUCGAAAGAUUAGCUAAUACCGCAUAAGACCACAAGAACUGAGGUUCAAGGGGCCAAAGGUUUUUCGCUUCAAGAUGAGUCCGCGUAAGAUUAGCUAGUUGGUGCGGUAAUGGCUCACCAAGGCAACGAUCUUUAACUGGUCUGAGAGGAUGAUCAGUCACACUGGAACUGAGACACGGUCCAGACUCCUACGGGAGGCAGCAGUAGGGAAUAUUGCACAAUGGAGGAGUCUCUGAUGCAGCGCCGCCGCGUGUGUGAUGAAGGCCUUCGGGUCGUAAAGCUCUGUCGCAGGCUAAUAACACAAUGAAUGUACCCUGUAAGAAAGGAUCGGCUAACUUCGUG